CGGGAGGCUCUGCGCGCGUCCGCUCUUGGGGCCACCCGUUCCAGAGCCACUCGCCAGGGCCAACCCGGAGCUCGAGACCCCGAGCUCGGGUGCGAGCAGGAUGCGGCUCCCCGGGGACGGUUGGCGCGGGUAGGAGUCCCGAAGCCCCGACCUUACCUCUGCUUCAUGCUGCAGUGUCCCUCAGCGCUGGCGUCCCAGUGGCCGGUCCGUGCCGCCCUGUCCCACAGGCCCGGCGACCGUGGAGGUGUGUAAUGUCGUCCAUGGCCCAGUGCAGAGGAACACAGGUGUUGCCGUCAGACUGCCAGGGUCCGAUCCCGCCUCCGUCACUCACCCCGGGAGCUCCCUUUAAGCCAGGAGUCAACAGCGAGAUGGAAACAAGAAGGAUGACCAAUAAGAUGAACAGGAAAGAAAUGAGAAACAGAGGUCUUUGCUUAGGAGCUAAAGGCCACCUUCUGUAACACAAAAUAGUCUACAAGUGGCCUUGAACUCUGCCGUGAUUCAGUGACAGAGUUCCCUCAUGUCGUCUACCCACGUUGAAGUCCAGCGACACUGCGACUGUCUUCUUUACAACUUGCAAGACAUGCUGCUUCUGCAUUUGCCUGUUGUAUGAGAUUUACACCUGUUUUAAAGCCACGUUUUGUUUCAGUUGGGCUGGUGGCCAUACACCGCACUAGCCAGUCAAUAGUGAGAUGGCUCCUCAUGGAGGCGGCUUGGCUUGAGGCUGAGGGUCUUUAACCCACAUGCACAAGAGAGUUGCCACGAGGGGACGGAAGCCAGGCUAAUAACCAACUGCUGUACAGAGUUCCCAUCUGUCCCUCCUCACCAUUUUCAGCUGGCAGGAUUUCAGCAUUUUAGGGCUUGGGAAGACAAUAUUACUAAAUCUACUAAAAUACAUCACCCAUCCUUAUAGGCUUUGGCCAGUUGCUGAGCAAAUUAACUUCACAACUGAAGUGGGCCACAUUGGCCUGCAUGGUCCCCCGCUUCUCUUAGAAUCUGUGAGUGUGGGGCCUAUUGGAGGGUGGGAGGUGGGAGGAGGGUGAGGAUCAGGAAAAAUAGCUGAUAUUAGGCUUAAUAUAUGGGUGAUGAAAUAAUCUGUACAACAAACUCUUGACACAUGUAUAUGUAUGUAGCAAACCUGAACAUCCUGCACAUGUACCCCUGAACUUUAAAUAAAAGUUUAAAAAAAAAAAGUCUGUGAGCUGACCCAAACCCCCGGGGAUCUUUGUGCUUUUGACACACUGAUAACUACACCG
Macaca nemestrina (pig-tailed macaque) is the source of this 1253-nucleotide long non-coding RNA. NCBI's taxonomy places the organism in Eukaryota, Metazoa, Chordata, Mammalia, Primates, Cercopithecidae. The record is from Ensembl.